UCCCCCUCUGAGCUCUUCCAUGACCAGAUAUGGGAGAACAGAGACUUUUUGCUGGGACCACUCUCCCUCCACCAGGAGGACUUGGUUCAACCUGGGCAGGGUUGAUCCAGCUUCUCCCACUCCUUCCCCCUGCUCCUCCACACUCUUCCUGGAACAAGUUUUUCCUAGCCCAGGGAGCCAAGCAGACCCACCAGCAGUCCAAGCCUGUUUCUGUCUUUCCCAAAGCUCACCCAGGUCCAACACUGGCUCUUAGAGCGGGGGAUGGAGCCGGGAAAUUUCUCCCAGAAUAAGAGGAAUUUUGGAGCCAGGUGGGAUCAGCUCCAAAAUCUCUGGAAUUUGGCGGUGGCAGGAGAGGGACCGACAGCGCCGAGCCAUUUCUAAGCAGCGUUUUUAAAAAACAAAGUGAAAUCUUCGCCAGAAAAUGUUAUUUCGAUCCCUUUGGCAACCACGAGUCGUUUCGAAGCGACGCUUUGUGUUCGGAAUGGGACCCAAAUCUAAAGGAGCUGGGAAUGGAGCCUCUGGGAAAGCUGCUGGGAGCUGGGAUGGAGCCACAGCGAGGGCUGGUGGGUUUGGCAGCCGGUGGGGCUGGAUCCACACCCCCACGGUAUCCCCCCACUGUGGGACCUCAGGGGGUGCUGGGGGUGCCACCACCCCUGGGGACAAGCGGCUCCCCGUACCCCUGUGCCCGAGGAGCCGAGGUCCUGUGACCUUCCCCCUUUGCUCUGCACUGUCCCGGCCCCACACUCCACAUCCCCUGGGAAAGGGCAGAAUCCCUCCCAUGGGGGAUCCCAGCCUGGACCGGCAGGGAGGAGAGGGGACAUCAGAGGGGACAUCAGUGCUUGGGGCCGGGAGGGACAUGGUGGAGAACCGGGAGGGCCCAUCAGGGACAAGGCUCCGGGCCCAGGGGCGAUGCUGUCACCCGGAGCCAGCAGAGACAUCAGCAGAGGACAGGAGGGCACCGGGACGGGCUCCGGCCCCAGGUGGGAGCACCCGAGGACACCGCAGGCACCGGGGGGGCUGGGAAUGGCCGGGGGAGAGGAGCUCGCCCGCACUUUGCUGCAUGACGGUGAUUAAGUCGCUUCCCUUCGUUAUGGUCCCUCGGGGAGGUGUUAACCAGCUGCUAAUAAAGACGGAUGGUUCUGAAGUGGCGUCUCCGGAGCUUUUGUAUCCAUGGAAUUUCGGGAAAAGCCACCGGGGUGCCCGGAGCCACCGGGCGGACCCGCGGCACCGCUGGGGACAAAUCUGCGGGUGCCGAGGGGGGCACCGGGGGGAUCUGGGGGGGGUCGGAGGAUGCCGAGAGCCGGAGCAGCUCCGGGGAGGAAAAGGGCGACCCGAAGGGCUGCGGGGGGCGGGAAGGCAGCGGGAAGAGGAGAAAUCCAGCAGCAACUGCCCAUUAAAAUUCAUGAAAGCUGUUAAAAAGCAGAGCGCAGCGCGAGCUCCCGGCUGCUGCUGACAAAGCCGGCGAGGGAGGCGGUGGUGCCAGCUCCGUGCAGUGGCAAAUUCGGGGUUCAGCCCCCCACUUCCCAAACC
RNAcentral lists this long non-coding RNA (1530 nucleotides) under Cyanistes caeruleus (blue tit). RNAcentral's name for it is "lncRNA (ENSCCEG00000006294.1)". The record is from RNAcentral. Lineage: Eukaryota; Metazoa; Chordata; Aves; Passeriformes; Paridae.